AGCGAACAGAUGAGGAGCUUGCUCCUCUGACGUUAGCGGCGGACGGGUGAGUAACACGUGGAUAACCUACCUAUAAGACUGGGAUAACUUCGGGAAACCGGAGCUAAUACCGGAUAAUAUAUCGAACCGCAUGGUUCAAUAGUGAAAGACGGUUUUGCUGUCACUUAUAGAUGGAUCCGCGCCGCAUUAGCUAGUUGGUAAGGUAACGGCUUACCAAGGCAACGAUGCGUAGCCGACCUGAGAGGGUGAUCGGCCACACUGGAACUGAGACACGGUCCAGACUCCUACGGGAGGCAGCAGUAGGGAAUCUUCCGCAAUGGGCGAAAGCCUGACGGAGCAACGCCGCGUGAGUGAUGAAGGUCUUCGGAUCGUAAAACUCUGUUAUUAGGGAAGAACAAAUGUGUAAGUAACUAUGCACGUCUUGACGGUACCUAAUCAGAAAGCCACGGCUAACUACGUGCCAGCAGCCGCGGUAAUACGUAGGUGGCAAGCGUUAUCCGGAAUUAUUGGGCGUAAAGCGCGCGUAGGCGGUUUUUUAAGUCUGAUGUGAAAGCCCACGGCUCAACCGUGGAGGGUCAUUGGAAACUGGAAAACUUGAGUGCAGAAGAGGAAAGUGGAAUUCCAUGUGUAGCGGUGAAAUGCGCAGAGAUAUGGAGGAACACCAGUGGCGAAGGCGAC
This 678-nucleotide ribosomal RNA is filed under the name uncultured Staphylococcus sp. RNAcentral describes it as "bacterial SSU rRNA". It matches the Rfam family "Bacterial small subunit ribosomal RNA", at positions 65 to 725 of the family's 1533-position model. Lineage: Bacteria; Bacillati; Bacillota; Bacilli; Caryophanales; Staphylococcaceae. The record is from RNAcentral.